This 2593-nucleotide long non-coding RNA is filed under the name Calidris pugnax (ruff). RNAcentral's name for it is "lncRNA (ENSCPUG00000008201.1)". Lineage: Eukaryota; Metazoa; Chordata; Aves; Charadriiformes; Scolopacidae. The record is from RNAcentral.
CGCCUUUAGGGGGCGGGGCCGGGGCGGGGCCGGUGGCCACGGGGGCGACGUCACUGGCCACGGAGGGGGCGGGGGUGGCCCCAGUAGCUCCAGAGUUGAUACUGGGGACACUGGUGGCCACUUUGGGGACGGUGGUGGCCACAUCGGAGACGGUGGUGGCCACUUUGGGGUCGUUGGUGGCCACAGCGGUGGCCCCAGUAGCUCCAGCGUUGACACUGGUGACACUGGUGGCCACUUCGGGGACGGUGGUGGCCACGGAGUUGACACUGGUGACACUGGUGGCCACUUUGGGGACGUUGGUGGCCACAUCAGAGACGUUGGUGGCCACGGGGGUGGCUCCAGAGUUGAUACUGGUCAUACUGGUGGCCACAGCAGAGACGUUGGUGGCCACUUUGGGGACGUUGGUGGCCACAUCAGAGACGUUGGUGGCCACGGGGGUGGCUCCAGCGUUGAUACUGGUGACACUGGUGGCCACAGCGCGGACGGUGGUGGCCACAGCAGGGAGGUUGGUGGCCACAGCGGGGACGUUGGUGGCCACGGAGGUGGCACCGGUAGCUCCAGCGUUGAUACUGGUGACACUGGUGGCCACGGUGGGGACGCUGGUGGCCACCGCAGAGAGGUUGGUGGCCCUGGGGCCACUGGUCAAACUGGUGGCCACGGUGGGGACGUUGGUGGCCUUGGGAGCGACGGCGACGCUGGUGGCCACUGGGGUGACGCUGGUGGCCACGGUGGGGACGUUGGUGGCCUUGGGAGCGACGGCGACGCUGGUGGCCACUGGGGUGACGCUGGUGGCCACGGUGGCUGCAGGGGUGGCCUUGGGAGCGCUGGUGGCCACGGAGGGGACACUGGUGGCCACGGGGGUGGCGUUGGUAGCCCUGGGGCCAUCCCUGGGACCAGUCACAGCGGUGGCCACCGCAGGGGGGAUGGUGGCCACGCUGGCCUUGGGGGUGACGUUGGUGGCCACGCUGGCCUUGGUGGCCCCCAUGGCAGCAGUGAUGGCCCCCGGGGUGAGGUUGGUGGCCACGGGGGGCUUGGUGGCCCCUGGGGUGACGACGGUGGCCACGGUGGCCCCUGGGGUGGCUUUGGUGGCCCCGGGGGUGACAACAGUGGCCCCCGGGGUGGCUUUGGUGGCCACUGGGGUGACAGAGUCCACGGCGACCCCUGCGGUGGCUUUGGUGGCCACUGGGGUGAGGGUGGUGGCCACGGUGGCGUUGGUGGCCCCCAGGGUGGCGUUGGUGGCCACGGUGGCUUUGGUGGCCCCUGGGGUGACAACGGUGGCCACGGUGGAGUUAGUAGCCCCCACGGAGACGUUGGUGGCCCCCGGGGUGACAACGGUGGCCACGGAGACGUUGGUGGCCCCCGGGGUGGCGUUGGUGGCCACGGAGACGUUGGUGGCCCCCAUGGAGACGUUGGUGGCCACGGAGACGUUGGUGGCCCCCGGGGUGACGUUGGUGGCCCCCGGGGUGCCAGCGACAGCGGUGGCCUUGGGGGUGACAUUAGUGGCCACGGGGGCGCCGCUGGUGGCCACGGGGGCGCCGCCGUCCACGGUGGCCUUGGGGGUGACGUUAGUAGCCACAGGGGUGACGUUAGUAGCCCGGGGGGCGCCGCCGGUAGCCACAGCGACCUUGGUGGCCCCCGGGGUGGCCGGGGGGGCCUUGGUGAGGUUGGUGGCCACAGGGGAGGGGCNNNNNNNNNNNNNNNNNNNNNNNNNNNNNNNNNNNNNNNNNNNNNNNGAUGUGACGGGGGAGGGCGGGGCCGGCGGCUUCGAGGGCGUGGCUGCGGGUGAUGACGUCACCGAUGAUGUCAUCGAUGAGGUUGACGUCACGGAUGAUGUCAGGGAUGACGUCACGGAUGGUGACGUCCCGGGUGAUGUCACCGAUGAUGUCACCGCCGGCCCCGAUGAGGUCACCGAGGGCUUUGACGUCACUGAUGACGUCAUCGGCGGCCCCGCUGAGGUCUUUGACGCCGCUGCUGAUGUCAUCAAUGACGUCACUGACGGCCCUGCUGAGGUCACUGCGGGCUUUGACGUCGCUGCUGAUGUCAUCGCCGGCCCCGAUGAGGUCACCGCCGCCUUGGACGCUGCUGCUGAUGUCAUCGAUGACGUCACCGCCGCCCCUGGUGAUGUCACUGCUGCCUUCGACGCCGCUGAUGUCACCGCCGGCCCUGGUGACGUCACCGAGGGCUUCGACGUCACCGAUGAUGUCACUGAUGACCCCGCUGAGGUCACCGCGGCCUUGGACGGCGCCGAUGACGUCGUAGACGGCGCCGAUGACGUCACUGGCGUCUUCGAUGACGUCACGGGCGACGCCCCCGCGGGCCCUGAUGAUGUCACCGCCGUCGACGCCUUCGGUGACGUCACGGGGGGCGCUGACGUCAUCGUCGACGUCAUCGUUGACGUUGUCGUCGCCGUCGUUGUUGAUGAUGUCAUCGGGGGGGUCGAUGAUGUCAUCGGGGAGGCGGAUGAUGUCAUCGGGGGGGUCGCUGACGUCACGGCCUUGCCGUCGGGCCCCGCCCCCGCCCCGGUAGCCCCCCUGGGGGGGUCGGUCGCCCCCUGGUUUCCGGUUCCCCCCCCCUCGGUGCCGGGCGGGGCGGG